RNAcentral lists this transfer RNA (53 nucleotides) under Brentisentis yangtzensis. RNAcentral's name for it is "tRNA-Cys". Lineage: Eukaryota; Metazoa; Acanthocephala; Palaeacanthocephala; Echinorhynchida; Leptorhynchoididae. The record is from RNAcentral.
GGGUAAAUAGUUAAAUUAUAAUAUAAAGUUGCAAACUUUGAGUUUAUUAUCCU